RNAcentral lists this transfer RNA (73 nucleotides) under Planctomycetaceae bacterium. Its description in RNAcentral is "tRNA-Trp". It matches the Rfam family "tRNA". Rfam says of the family: Transfer RNA (tRNA) molecules are approximately 80 nucleotides in length. The record is from RNAcentral. Lineage: Bacteria; Pseudomonadati; Planctomycetota; Planctomycetia; Planctomycetales; Planctomycetaceae.
ACGGAUGUAGCUCAAUUGGCAGAGCAGCGGAUUCCAAAUCCGCAGGUUGGGGGUUCAAGUCCCUCCAUCCGUG